UCGAUGGACUGGACUUACACUAAUACGUUAGCCAUUUGGAAAGAGGAGAUGGCCAUAAAUUACUACCAUGGUGAAUAUCAUUAAAACGCCGCAGAACCAAAAGCUCCGUGUGCACGUGAACUCCUGCGCCUCGCGCUGCCACUCCGCAAAGCUGCAGUAUCACCGAACGCUUUACACUGAGCUCUAAAGCUGGAAAGGCGUCUUAGAGACGAGCAGGUCCAGGCGACCGUGCCUAAGACAGCAAGUUCCCCCUAGGAGGGGUUCGAGAAAUGUUUGGUGAAUGAGUGAGCCCCUCAUUUUACGGACUACGUAACAGCUCCUGGAAAAGGAAGCGAUUGCCCCCAUGGCACACUUCACUGGUGGCAGAGCAGGGCACUACAGCACAGCUGACUCUCAGGAGAAUUGUUAACAUCAACCAGAUCCCUAAAAGUGAUUCUGGCAGCAAAUGAGCAUGUCUCUGCGAAGCAGGUGAAGAGCCCGGGACUCUGGGCUGGACGCAUUGGCAGCUGCAGGCCUGAGAAGACCCCACCGGGCAGGCGGUGCUGAGCCCUAGUGCAGGAUGCCCCCGGCUGUCCCCGAGGGAGCCCAGCUUUGAAGGAGGAAGAGGACUGGCAGUUCAGGACACCCAAGUCACCGAAGAAAGGUGGAAGCAGGGGAGCCUGGGAUUGGCCCCCCAACCUGUGCCUGCUGGAAGCUCCUCUCCUUUCCGCAGCGUCUCUGCAGCUGUGACUGUGAUGUGGAAGGCUGUCAUCCACCGUGGACCCUCUAGAGGCCGUGGACUGUCUGCUUUGCCCAUCACUCUGUGCCCAGCGCAGUGUCUGCAUGAAGUGAAGACGUGAUAAGUGUCUGCUAAGGGAGCGAAGGACUGAGUGGGUGCAUGAGUGGGACAGUUUUCUCACUGCCUCAGCUGCUCCCAGCCCUAUUUUAAGGACAGAGAAUAUGCAUGUUUAAAGGACAGAUGCGUGUCU
Long non-coding RNA from Saimiri boliviensis boliviensis (Bolivian squirrel monkey), 968 nucleotides. RefSeq lists it as uncharacterized. The record is from RefSeq and is a predicted model, not a curated record. NCBI's taxonomy places the organism in Eukaryota, Metazoa, Chordata, Mammalia, Primates, Cebidae.